UGCUUCUGAACCCUUUGAUACAGCAAGGCGUGGCACCCAGUGUCAUAGCUCAAGGGAGUAAAAUAUUAUGCUUUGUUGACCCCGCCUUCAAACAGAGAUACAUUGACAGCUUAAGCUUCUUACCCAUGAGAUUGGCUCAAAUGCCAGAGGCCUUGGGUUUUGAAAACUCUGUCAAAGGCUAUUUCCCUCAUUUCUUCACAUCUGAGGAGAAUCUACAUUAUAUAGGAUCUUAUCCAGCCCCCGAAAUGUACGGGUGUGAUCAAAUGUCUCCCAAAGAGCGUGAGAGAUUCAUGACAUGGUACGAGACCGUAAGACAUGGCACUUUUGAUUUCCAUAAAGAGAUGGAAUCAUACUGUGACAAUGACGUUGUUAUACUUCGUGAAGGAUGCCUCAGAUUCAGAGAAGAGGUAAUCAAAGAUGCGGGCAUUGACCCCUGGAGCUGUACAACUAUUGCAUCAGCGUGCAUGAAAACCUAUCGUACACACUAUCUAACUCCUGAAUCUAUAGCUAUCCCAUCGCCAGACAACUACCGACGCCAAUUCAAGGCCUACUCUAGUGGUUCCAUUCAAUGGUUGGAGUACUUGGCCCAGGAUAAAGAUAUUUUUAUCCAACAUGCUUUGAAUCGGGGGGAGAAGGCUUUUGGGCCUUACCAUGUAGAUGGAUACACACAGAUUGACGGGGUUGAGACAGUGUAUGAGUACAACGGUUGUUUCUUCCACGGUUGUAAAUUAUGCUUUGUCCCCCACACCUUGUGUGUCCUAACCCAAAAGACUUUUGGGGAAAUGUACCAAGAGUUUCAAGACAAACUGAAUUCUUUAAAGGCUACUUACGGGUUAAAAGUUGUGGUUUUGUGGGAGCACGAAUGGACAGCCCUCAAAAAGGCAGAUCCUAGUGUUAAGGCCUUCCUUACCCAUUAUGACCCUCCAGAGCCCCUGGAACCGCGACAGGCCUUGUUUGGAGGCCGGACCAAUGCGUUAUGUAGCUCAACCCGACGAGACAAUAGGCUAUGUAGAUUUUACAUCCCUAUAUCCUCAUGUAAUGAGUUCCUCAUUCUAUCCUAUAGGGCAUCCUGAAAUUAUUCACAGCGACUUUGACGAACCCCAAAAUUAUUUUGGUUUAAUCAAAGCGACUGUCUACCCUCCUAGGGGGCUGUUUAUACCUGUGUUGCCUUACAAGGGUCCUAAAGGAAAACUUUUCUUUCCCCUUUGUCGCACAUGCUGUGAAAACCACAACCAGGA
Molecule: long non-coding RNA, 1238 nt
Filed under: Oncorhynchus kisutch (coho salmon)
Lineage: Eukaryota; Metazoa; Chordata; Actinopteri; Salmoniformes; Salmonidae
Description: lncRNA (ENSOKIG00005033603.1)
Source: RNAcentral